AUCUCCCCUUCACGCUCCAUCUGCUUCAUCAAAGUCUUCCUUGUGUUUGUUUUUGUUGCAAAACAGUCAAACACAAAAGAGAAGCUAUAAAGCAAAAUAACUCCUUUUCUAUUUCAUACUAUUUAUUUUUCAUCUUAUGACAAAUACAACUUUCUGUUGGCUUUUCUAGAUGGAAACAUCAGGCUGGUUAAUUCAUACAAGGGAUGACUCAAGCAUGUAAAAAAAACCCCCUGCAAUGUCAGAAGCUGUUUGCUCCCCAUGCUGUCUCAUGAAAGGCUGUCCCUGGAGCCUUUUCCUGUGUUGAAGCAGCUGGAGAAGCCCUUCUCCCUGCUGAAGGGGAAGAGACUGACAGAACAAAGUCGUUCAUUGCCCACUGUGUUGCUGAUCCCUCCUCAGCCAGCUGGUUUCGAACACAGCCUGGUGUCAAGUUUGUAUUUCAGAAAGCUAAUUAUGCCGCAAUAUGUGGAUAGCUAUAGUUGAGAAUUCGCAGCAGAAGUUCCAAAAUAAGUGUUUACUGCAUUGCUGUGUAUUUGUUUUCACCUGUGUAAGAUGCUCUAGACUUGCCUAAACAAGGUGGAGAGAUGUUUUAAAUGAAUCGAGGUGGAAAUGAGGUAUUGGUUUUUGGAAAAAGUCUUCUAGAUAUUCAGGAACAAAUAAAUUUGAAACUUAGUGAAAAUAGUUUGACAUGUUUUACCCCUGAUAAGGCAAAAGUGGCAAAAUGCUUGUGUCCUUGGCAUAUAGAGCCUGUUCAUCUGCAGGAUCUGCUACAUUCUAAUUAAGGGCUCAGUGAGGGACCUGACCCACAGUUUGGAGGUGCUUAUUAAAUUCCUUUGGUUUCAGCCACUUGCUGUGAUAAUACAGGAUAAAAAUUUUACUUAGAGGAUAAUAAGAAACCAUUCUUGUUGGAGACUUUGCUGCGAUAUUUUCAGAGGAGAUAUACAAGUUCUAAUUUAAUGCAUAAUGAAUAAUCUAGUUUCCUGUUUGAAACUUAAGGCCUUCCCUCAGCACUGUUUCAUGCACCAGCUGCUUGUGAUGCCUCUCCUGUGGCAAAUAAUAAAAAAAAAAAAAAGGCAUUAGUAGCUCAAGAAAAUUAAGAAAUACCAAGGUCAGGAGACUGCUGACAUGGAUAAUGAAAGAAAUCAGGAAGGUGAGAGGGCAGACAGAGUAUCAAAUGUCUUACAGAAGGCUGAAGUGGAAAUUUCAUUGUUGAAAUGAGCUGGGAUAAGAUCAGGCCUCUGAAGAUGGUUGAUGGAGGUUGGCAUCUCCACUGCAGAUGCAGGGAAGGGUAGAAGUGGCUGUAGGGCAUAAGCGGAAAUCUCUCCAGGCAGUGCUGCAAGGGCGAUGCGUCAGUAGGAUGCUGUGAAGAAAGUAAUAUGUUGAGUCUGGCAAAACAGAAGGGAACAAAUUGUAAGCUGAGGUAAAAAUUAAAUGAAAAAGAAUAAAAAAUACUUUUACUUUAAAAGCGCUAGCAUUUUGAAUUUGGAGGUGAGAAGUGAUUUGAAAUGUUUUUUGUUUAAGCAAACACAGAUAUUGAAUAUUUUUAGAAAUGGAAGAACUUCUUAUUUUUAAUUUUCAAGUUUUAAACCCCAUUUGAUCUUUCCUUAAACAACUCAAUUAAAUGUAAAAGAAUAAAAUUGUUCUAUGAAUAAUUUCAGUUAAAAUGAUUUGGAUUUGAUCAAAAUAUUUUGCUCAUCUGUCCCAGUGAAUAGCAUCAGAUCAAAUGUCUUACUGUGUUUAAAGGCGGAUUUAGGAUGGUGUCUUGUUGCACAAUUAUUGAUGAAAUUCUUUAAACAUUUGUCACCUUCAUACUGUGUGCAAUCCAGCUUCUCCCACCCUCAGGGUAGGAGAGCUCUUGAAUAUUCUGAGUGAAUUAAUUAGUGCACCAGUGGUGAUUAUUUCUACCACCUCUGGACAGUACAAAGUUUUUGUUAUCUUUCACAUAGAUAGAAAAAAACCCAACAACAACCCC
Long non-coding RNA from Neopsephotus bourkii (Bourke's parrot), 1969 nucleotides. RefSeq lists it as uncharacterized. NCBI's taxonomy places the organism in Eukaryota, Metazoa, Chordata, Aves, Psittaciformes, Psittacidae. The transcript has 2 exons. The record is from RefSeq and is a predicted model, not a curated record.